RNAcentral lists this ribosomal RNA (504 nucleotides) under uncultured bacterium. RNAcentral's name for it is "bacterial SSU rRNA". It matches the Rfam family "Bacterial small subunit ribosomal RNA", at positions 30 to 526 of the family's 1533-position model. The record is from RNAcentral.
AUUGAACGCUGGCGGAAUGCUUUACACAUGCAAGUCGAACGGUAGAGGGGGCAACCCCUUGAGAGUGGCGAACGGGUGAGUAAUAUAUCGGAACGUGCCCAGUCGUGGGGAUAACGUAGCGAAAGUUACGCUAAUACCGCAUACGAUCUAAGGAUGAAAGCGGGGGACUCGCAAGAGCCUCGCGCGAUUGGAGCGGCCGAUAUCAGAUUAGGUAGUUGGUGGGGUAAAGGCUCACCAAGCCAACGAUCUGUAGCUGGUCUGAGAGGACGACCAGCCACACUGGAACUGAGACACGGUCCAGACUCCUACGGGAGGCAGCAGUGGGGAAUUUUGGACAAUGGACGCAAGUCUGAUCCAGCCAUUCCGCGUGCAGGAUGAAGGCCCUCGGGUUGUAAACUGCUUUUGUACGGAACGAAAAGGUUUCUAUUAAUACUAGGAGCUCAUGACGGUACCGUAAGAAUAAGACACCGGCUAACUACGUGCCAGCAGCCGCGGUAAAGUGAC